Portunus trituberculatus (swimming crab) is the source of this 284-nucleotide long non-coding RNA. RefSeq lists it as uncharacterized. NCBI's taxonomy places the organism in Eukaryota, Metazoa, Arthropoda, Malacostraca, Decapoda, Portunidae. The record is from RefSeq and is a predicted model, not a curated record. The transcript is spliced from 2 exons.
AAACGGCCUUUGAAAACACCACACCCGUUUUGUCCACCGCCAUCACCACCUUUUCCCAGAUCAAGGACAAAGUGUAUUACAGACUCACACAUAAGGAAGAGGUGCAUGCCAUGAGGGAGGCGGUGGAGGUGUGGGGGUCCAGCACGCCAUCACAGACAACCUGCAGUUCAUGCUUGGGAUGGGACACACUGGGACAGCCUCGGACCGUUGGUGGGAGCAAGACAAGGCUGUGGCAAUUUUGCCACUCAGACCUGUUGCCAUGUUACUAUUAUUGCACAUCCUAA